GAGAAUUAUAUUACCCUACGGGGAGCGAACCUAGUGAAGUGAAACAUCUCAGUAGCUAGAGGAAGAGAAAUCAAACGAGAUUCCCAAAGUAGCGGCGAGCGAAAUGGGAUUAGGACAAACCCAAUGCUUGCAUUGGGGGUUGUAGGACCAUGAUAUGAGACUAAAGAGGAUAGAUGAAAUACUUGGAAAAGUGUAGCAUAGAAGGUGAAACUCCUGUAAUUAAAAUUCUCAAUAGCUCUAAUGGUAUCCUGAGUAGGUCGGAACACGUGAUAUUUUGACUGAAGCCGGGGGGACCACCCUCCAAUCCUAAAUACUACUUACAGAUCGAUAGUGAACAAGUACCGUGAGGGAAAGGUGAAAAGUACUCCAGCGAGGAGAGUGAAAUAGAACCUGAAACCAUUAGCUUACAAUCAUUCAGAGCCCUAUGAUUUAUCAGGGUGAUGGACUGCCUUUUGCAUAAUGAGCCUGCGAGUUGUGGUGUCUGGCAAGGUUAAGUCAAGUACGAAGCCGUAGCGAAAGCGA
Molecule: ribosomal RNA, 522 nt
Filed under: Aliarcobacter butzleri
Lineage: Bacteria; Pseudomonadati; Campylobacterota; Epsilonproteobacteria; Campylobacterales; Arcobacteraceae
Description: partial 23S ribosomal RNA
Rfam family: Bacterial large subunit ribosomal RNA
Source: RNAcentral